GGCUUCGUGGUGCAGUGGCCAGCACGCUAGGUGCAUAUUCGAGAGGUCCAUGGUUCGAAUCCCGGCGAAGGCA
This 73-nucleotide transfer RNA is filed under the name Stegodyphus mimosarum. It matches the Rfam family "tRNA". From Rfam's summary of the family: Transfer RNA (tRNA) molecules are approximately 80 nucleotides in length. Their secondary structure includes four short double-helical elements and three loops (D, anti-codon, and T loops). Further hydrogen bonds mediate the characteristic L-shaped molecular structure. tRNAs have two regions of fundamental functional importance: the anti-codon, which is responsible for specific mRNA codon recognition, and the 3' end, to which the tRNAs corresponding amino acid is attached (by aminoacyl-tRNA synthetases). tRNAs cope with the degeneracy of the genetic code in two manners: having more than one tRNA (with a specific anti-codon) for a particular amino acid; and 'wobble' base-pairing, i.e. permitting non-standard base-pairing at the 3rd anti-codon position. Lineage: Eukaryota; Metazoa; Arthropoda; Arachnida; Araneae; Eresidae. The record is from Rfam by way of RNAcentral.